This 82-nucleotide transfer RNA is filed under the name Coemansia sp. RSA 1200. Its description in RNAcentral is "tRNA-Ser". It matches the Rfam family "tRNA". Rfam says of the family: Transfer RNA (tRNA) molecules are approximately 80 nucleotides in length. Their secondary structure includes four short double-helical elements and three loops (D, anti-codon, and T loops). Lineage: Eukaryota; Fungi; Kickxellomycota; Kickxellomycetes; Kickxellales; Kickxellaceae. The record is from RNAcentral.
GUCAGCUUGGCCGAGCGGUUAAGGCGGUAGGCUAGAAAUCUAUUGGGCUAUGCCUUCGCAGAUUCGAAUCCUGUAGCUGACU